This 365-nucleotide long non-coding RNA is filed under the name Sorghum bicolor (sorghum). RNAcentral describes it as "long non-coding RNA (SBIC_LNC007798)". Lineage: Eukaryota; Viridiplantae; Streptophyta; Magnoliopsida; Poales; Poaceae. The record is from RNAcentral.
ACAACCUUCUUCCUACCAGAACCGCUAGAUAUACUCUCUCUCUACUUAGGCUUUGUUUGGAUCUAAAUUUUUUUUGGAUUUUGAUACUAUAGCACUUUCGUUUUUAUUUGACAAACAUUGUCCAAUCAUAGUGUAACUAGGCUUAAAAGAUUCGUCUCGUGAUUUAUAGGCAAACUGUACAAUUAAUUUUUAUUUUUAUCUAUAUUUAAUGCUUCAUGCAUGUGCCGCAAGAUUCGAUAUGACGGAGAAUCUUGAAAAGUUUUAGGUUUUUGGGGUCAACUAAACAAAGCCUUACAACCGUAUCGUCAUCGCUUUCGGUGAGGUUGUAAACUUGUAACUCGAUCGCGUACCAAUCGGUUUCCAAU